This is a long non-coding RNA of Brassica rapa (field mustard), 6088 nucleotides long. RefSeq lists it as uncharacterized. The record is from RefSeq and is a predicted model, not a curated record. Lineage: Eukaryota; Viridiplantae; Streptophyta; Magnoliopsida; Brassicales; Brassicaceae.
AUAUUGAUACCUGGUCCGAACCAUCCAAAAAGGUCUCUGGCUGUUUUCCUACAACCACUGAUAAAAGAGUUGAGGAAUUUGUGGUCAACAGGGGUGAGGACGUACGACUGUUCAACGAAGACGAAUUUUACGAUGCGAGCUAUGCUUUUGUGGACCAUAAGUAACUUUCCUGCCUAUGGGAUGUUGUCUGGAUGGACUACACAUGGGGUUUGGAAUGGAAAUAAAGAUGGAGUUUGGAAUAUAAGGAAUAUGGGGUUUUGGGUUUGGGGUUUCGGAUUUUAGGGAUUUAAACGUACUACUCGUUAAUUCCUCGUAAGUUGACGUCGAACUUAUGACGUAAUCCUCGUUUAUUCCACGUAUGACCGAAUCGUUGUAAAGGACUCGUUAGGUAACGUGGAAAUAACGACGAAAUUAAAAAAAAAUAAAGAAAGCAAAACCCGUUAAUUCCACGUAGGACGGAAUCGUCGUAAAAACCUCGUAAGGUAAAUAGUCGUAAAUACCCCGUAAAGUAAAUGACGAACGAGGCACUCUUUAAUUCCACGUAUGACGGAUUCGUCGUAAACACCUCGUAACAUAAAUCGUCGUAAACACCUCGUAGAGUAAAAACUAGAAAAAAAAAGAAAAAGAAGAGAGAUACCAGAUUUACAUGUGGCAAGACUUCCAGCAAUUAUAAUACUUAAGUCUCGCCCACAUAAAUUCCAAUAUCUUCUUCUCUUCCUUUUUUUCUCAAAUAUUUAUAAUUUGAAUUGGAAUUUUGAUUUGGGAGUAUGAUGUGAGAUAAAUAGAUUGUGAUUUGGGAGUUUGUGUGUGGGUUGAGAAGGAGAGUUACGGGUAUAUUUAUAGGGAAGCUUUCCUCGGUAAUUCCACGUAAGCUAAAUCGUCGUAACUUCCUCGUAUCUAAUAACAUGGGCCUUUGUCAUUCCUCGUAAAUUCCUCGUAGAACAAAACGCGGGCCUUUGUAGUCUGUCGCUAUUUCGUCGUAAAAAAAACGCGGGCCUCUGUAAUUCGUCGUAAACUUACGAGGAAUUUGCGACGGUAUGUAAUCUUAUAUAUACCACCGAGCGCUCACUCUUUCUUUCCUCUCUACUUUCUCUCCACUUCCUCUCUCCAUUUCCUCCAUGUUUCGUUGCAAUGGUAAGCCUCUCUAAUUACUCUCUAAUUUAGUUAGUUUAGGAUAGAUUAGGUGGUUAGUAUAGGGAAUUUAGAUAGGUUUACGGAUAUUAUGUUAUUUAGUGUUGAUUAGGUGGAUAAUGUUGGGAAAUAUACUGUUGACGAAAAUUUAAAAAAUUAAAUUUUUUUCUCAGGUUCGAAAAGGUAGACUUACUGCCCAUUACAGAGAGAUGUUUGGUGAGCCGGGUAGUCGUUUAGACCCGUCGUCUUCUUCAGCUCCCGGUUAUUCGGGUCAGGAGACUGUCCCCGAGACUCAGUACACUCAGAGAGUCUCUGGGUCUCCUUCUUCUAGUGCACCAUCGGUUCCUCAUGUGCCUCCCCCGAUGGCUCAUCCGACGAUGCCUCCUCCUUUGUCCUCCUCCGAUGGCACCUCCGGCGAUGCCCGCCGAAAUUCAUCCCGACUUGAUGGUGCCUCCGAGUGCUCCUUACUCGCAGUACACUGUAGAGGACAUUCUCCGUCUACCAGGCAGAGAAGGUUUACCAGUCAUCGACCCCGACCGACCGGACGGAACUUUGUGGUAUGUUACAUUAAUUUUUUUUAUUCAAUUCGUUUAAAUUUUUUUUAUAACAUUAAAAAAUAAUUUAUAUUUUAAAUUUGUUUUUUUCCAGGUUUGGGGUUGACAAUUGUCUUGCAUCGGACGUAACCGACACGAUCAAAGGUUACUUGUCCAUGCCACAUCCGAACUGGAGUAAGACGCCUCACUACGUCAGAAAGACGUGGUUCAAAAUUUACGCUCAAAAAUAUCAUUGGGCUUUGGGGAUCACUGAGACGGUGAAGAAGAAGUUUGUCGCGAAGGCGAAAGUUUGCUUAUUGGACACGGUCUCCAACUGGAAGGGUGACUGGAUCGUGAAGGGGUAUGAGCGUGGCAAACCCGCUGAGCUCACCACGGAUGUGUGGGAUGGCCUCAUCCGAUAUUGGCGUCUUCCUGAUUCCAUUAGAGUCGCCCAGUCUUGCUCUAACUCCCGUAACACGGUUGAUGAGCACGGGAACGGGCCGAUGCUUCACACUACGGACCAAAAACCCCACGCCGGUGUCCGUUUGGAAAUGGUAAUUAAAUCUUUAAUUAAAUACAAAUUUUUAUAUAUAUUUAUAAAUUUUAAUAUUCUAACUUUCUAAAAUAUUUUUUAGGCCAAAGAGACGGGACAUUUCCCGUCUCUUGUGGAACUUUACGAGAAGACCCACAAGAACAAGGCGGGCGUAUUUCUAGAUGGCAAGUCCGAGCAAAUCUACAACGACUUGGUUGCUCGGGUUGAAGACCGCCAGACCCAGCUGACCCAGCAGUCCACCGAUGGAUUACCCGUCACCUUAUCCACACCUGAAGUGGAUAAGAUUUACGAGGAGGUAAAUUUUCUAAAAUUUUAAAUUUUUUUAUUAUUUAUUUAAUUUUUAACUUUAAAUUUUUACUAACAAUAUUUAUUUUUUGUUUUUAAGGUUGUCCCUAAAAAAAGGGGACGGACGUUGGGGAUUGGUUCCGUCAACGAUGUUCCGAGAGCGACAUCGUCUUAUGGUCAGCGACGGGAUAAUGAAGUCUCUCAGCUGCGUAGAGAGUCCGAAGAGCUGCGUAGAGAGUCCACUGAGCUGCGUCACGAGUUGACCACGACGCGAUCUGUGUUCACAGCUCGUGUGGGUGGACUCGAGGGCUUCUUGGACGUUGUAGAGGCCACAAAUCCGGACUGGGAGAACUUUUUGAGGAACAUGCGACAACAAAAUCCUAUUCCAGGCGAGUCAACAUCCGACGACACACAUGCCGAGGAGAAUGUCGCGAGGAGGAGUGAUGAAUUCUACCGGGCGAUUCACGACGACUAGCUCUUAGUUCUUUUUUAUUUGAUCGGCGGUUCUUGUAUUAUAAAUUCAAAACUUAUUUAUAUAUAAAAUAUUUUGGUUUUGAUUAUUUUAGAAUUUUAAUUUUAUUAAUAAUUUAAAUAAUUUUAAUUAGUUUUUUAAUUAUAAUUUUUUAUAUUUCUGUAAAAUAACGAAACGAAGUAAAUUCGUAGCUAAUUUUGCGACUUUUUUACGUGGAAGCUUAACGAGGUUUUCACGAGGAAAAGUUUCCAAGGAAUUAACGUGGAAACUUAACGUGUUUUUUACGAGGAAAACUUUCAAGGUAUUUACGUUUACUUUACGAGUAUUUACUUUCGAGUUAUUUACGUGUGUUUUACGAGGAACUCCUUUCGAGGUAUUUACGAGGAAAUAUAGCGACGUCCUUACGUGGAAGCUUUACGUAGUCUUUACGACGAAAUCAUUUCCUCGCUACCUUACGACGAAUUAGCGAGGAUAUAUGCGUUACGACAAAAACGUAUAACGACGAAACGGGUUUCCUCGCUAAUUCCUCGUAACACUGCUUUUACGACGAAGUCACGAGGAAAGCCGCCCUCGUAAAACUUGUGUUUUCUUGUAGUGUAAUCAAAUAUGUCAUAUUAACUAAUUUUUUAAGUGGUCAUACUUUGACUUGUUAAUAGUAGAUAAAUAAUAUGGUCCUAAAUUAAUAGAUUAGAUGUUUUAGGAGAAUAUACAUAAUUGUGAUCAAUCAAAUAUUUCAAUGAUAUUCCUCCUAUAGUAGACCAUUAAUUAAAUGCAUAAAAAGGAAUAACAAAUGUAGAUUUUUAAAACCAAAAUUAUAAUAGCGCAAAUGCUAUUAGAAAUAUAAAUAAAUAAAUAAUAGUAAAACAUAAAUUUCUUUGGAUAGUCAUUUUCAGUUUAUUUUUAUAAAAUAGUUUUCAAAGAGAAAAAUGAACAAAAAAUAAUGGAUAAAUAUACACUUAUACCCAUAGAGCUAACUAAUCUAGAUUUGGAAUUUAGAGUUAAGUGAUGGAGUUCUCAGAAUGAAAUUCCAAAUUUUUAAAAAAAAACUAAUAACUAAAUAUUAAAAUUUUCAAAAUAAAAAAUAAAAAAUAGCUAUUUUGGUCAUUUUAUUUUUUGAAAAUUAUUUUUUUGACAAAAAAAUUAGAAAAGACUAUUAGAAUUGCCCUUAGUAAAAAGUUUAAUGAGAUCUGUUUUCUUGUAAUUAGCAUUUUUGACUAAUGUUGAGACGGAUAAGAACGUAUCCGGAAGCAAAAAGUUUAUGGAAAUAUAAAAUAAUUCAAUAUUUUAAUUACAAAUUAUUAAAGAUUAAAGUAUUAUUCCAAAACCACAUUAACGAUUCUAUAUGUUUUUUUUAACCACAAGAAUUCUCUAUGUUUUCUUAUAAGUAAAAUAAAAAUAUAUUAAACAAUAAAUUAUUUUCACUUAAAUCUCCCAUAAUUCAUAGAUUUAUUUUUGGCGUAAAUAUGUUUUUUUUUCAACCUAUAUGGUAAAAAGUAGUACUUAAACGUAAAAGUAACAUUUUUAAAAUACGUGAUGUCAACACGAGAAACAAAUAGUAACUAUAUUUAUAAUAAUUAUGAAAAAUAUGCAGCAUUCUAGACAAAAAAAAACAAACUUUUCAAAACUGUUAUAAUUAAACAUAUUUAAUAUAUAUGACGUAUUUUCUGUAAUAUUAUAUCAGGAAGAUAGUUAAUUAGCUAGUUUACAAAAUGACAUUAUAAGAAAAUAAUAUGUAUAUAACCAAAUGGUAGUACACUAGUACACAGUACACACACCAAGUUUUAACCACUAGUAUUAUAUCGUGGAGAAGUUUUUAGGAAAAUUCAUAUAUAAAUGGAUCAAAAGGCCUGAUUAUAGACACAUGUAACAAGAUUUUUGUUAAAUUCAUAUUUGUUACUGAGUUUUAAUUAAAACUUAUUGGUGAUAAGUAGGUUGACCUAAGAACAUCUUCAACGGUCUUUUAUCCUUUCAAAAAAGGGUUUUACAUUCCAACAAUGUUUUAUCCCCUCUAACUUGAGAAUACACUAUUCAUUAUCUUAAAAUACUAUUUGUUUUUUACUUUAGUCACUACAAUUAUAUGUGUUUGACAAUAGCAUGAAUAAUUUUUUAUAUCUCAUAUUUUAGUUCUUAUCAUUGAUCACUGAAAUGGUAGCAAAUAUUUUAGAGCUUAGUAUCUUUUUUUAUUUCCUUUUGACCCAGAAAUUAAAUCCCCUAAUUAUUUCCUAACUAAAUCCCCUGUAUAUCAUUCUUUGAAUUUAUAUAUCAAAUAUUUUUCCUUGCUACACAAUUUUUUAAACUUAAAUUAGAAAUUUUCUAUUGAAGAUUAAAAAAACUUUGACACCAAGAAAUGAAUUGUCUAAUUGUUUUUGUAGUUUAGGAAAACGCUAAUAAUGAUCUUUCGUAGUAGUUAAUAUUAUAUAUCACGUUCAUGUAGCUUUCAUUCUAUUUAAAGUAUCGGUUGCAAACAAAGAAUACCAUCAUCAAGUAUUUAAAGUAAAGUAUCGGUUGCAAACAAAAAAAACUAAUUUCAUCUAAUAUGGGUUAACCCAAUUUGUAGUUGUUUUUUAAAAUAUUUAAUUUUUCUAUCUAUUGUUGUCAAAAAAAUGUAAAAAUAUAAUAUUUUAAAAAAUAUUAUAACUUUAAAAUCAAAAAAAUAUAUAAAUCUUAUUCACCAAGUUAGUAAAAGAAAAUAUUCGAAUGUAUCAGAUCCAUCAUAAAUUUGAAGUUUUAAUCCAAAAUUCCAAUUAAAAUGGUUUUCUGUCAAACGCAUAGAUGAUUAUAUAAACAAUCCAAAAUUGUAUACAUAUAUAAAAAAAUUGAUCAUAUAUAAAUUUUAAAUUUUCUCAAUAUCAUAUCUUUUAUAUUUUAACUAUAUAACUCACUCUGUGAAAGGCGUAGGUCUUAUCUUCGUUUAUAAUAAUUAUGAAAAAUAUGCAGCAUUCUAGACAAAAAAACAAACUUUCAAAACUGUUAUAAUAAAUCAUAUUUAAUAUAUAUGACGUAUUUUCUGUAAUAUUAUAUUUGGAAGAUAGUUAAUUAGUUAGGUUACAAAAUGAUAUUAUAAAAAAUAAUAUGUAUAUAACCAAAUGGUAGUACACUAGUACACAGUACACA